Molecule: ribosomal RNA, 944 nt
Filed under: Oryza longistaminata (longstamen rice)
Lineage: Eukaryota; Viridiplantae; Streptophyta; Magnoliopsida; Poales; Poaceae
Description: eukaryotic LSU rRNA
Rfam family: Eukaryotic large subunit ribosomal RNA
Source: RNAcentral
CCCCAGGUCAGGCGGGACUACCAACUAAGUUGAAGCAUAUAAAUAACGGUGAGCGAACUGGGAGAUGCUCAGCUUGAGAAUCGGGAGAUGCCGAGCUUGAGAAUCGGGCGGCCGCACCGUUCGAACUGUAGUCUGGAGAGGCGUCCUCAGCGACGGACCGGGCCUAAGUCCCCAGGAAAGGGGUGCCUGGGAGGGUGAGAGCCCCGUCCGGGUUGGACCCUAUCGCCUCAUGAGGGCGCGUCAACGAGUUAGGUUGUUUGAGAAUGCAACCCAAAUCGGGCGAUAAACUCCGUCCAAGGCUAAAUACAGGCGAGAGACCGAUAGCGAACAAGUACCACGAGGGAAAGAUGAAAAGGACUUUGAAAAGAGAGUCAAACAGUGCUUGAAAUUGCUGGGAGGGAAGCGGAUGGGGGCCGGCGAUGCGCCCUGGUCGUAUGCGUAACAACUUCGGCUGGUCCGCCAAUUUGAUCAGGGCGUGGACUGUUGUCGGCCACUCCGGUGGCCAAAGCUCGGGGGCCUCGCGCCCCUCGUAGCCGUUGUCGGCGUAGCCGGUCACCGCGCGCCUUCUGGCGCGCCCCUUGGGGUGCCACGCUGUAACGGCCUGCGGGCUCCCCAUCUGACCCGUCUUGAAACACGGACUAAGGAGUCUGACAUGCGUGCGAGUCGAUGGGUUCUGAAACCUAGGAUGCCAAGGAAGCUGAUGAGCGGGAGGCCCUCAUGGGCCGCAUCGCUGGCCAACCCUGAUCUUCUGUGAAGGGUUUGAGUUGGAGCACACCUGUCGGGACCUGAAAGAUGGUGAACUAUGCCUGAGCGGGGUGAAGCCAGAGGAAACUCUGGUGGAGGCUCAAAGUGAUACUAACGUGCAAAUCGUUCGUCUGACUUGGGUAUAGGGGCGAAAGACUAAUCGAACCAUCUAGUAGUUGGUUCCCUCCGAAGUUUCCCUC